UGCUCUACCCUUGUACGCACGUGGUGGAGGGCAUGAGGACGCUCAGGGCAUAUGUGCAGCCACAGUGGACACUGCUGUGAAAAAUACCCUGGACUCAGGUGCCUAGGGCACGUAACUGGAAUGUGCAUAUGGAUAACGCAUGCUGAAGAACUCCAGUCACUGUCCAGGUACAUGGCAUGCUGAUAAGGCUGAGAGAGUAACCUUAACUGAAGAGAAAGAAAGAUGCAUUCUCAAGAUACAACAAAUACUCUACAAUUAAGUGGUGCUGUAAAUGGAUCUUGAUCACACAUAGAAAUCCACAGCAAAACCCUUUUCCAUUUAUGGCUAUCGCAUUUACUUGUGGACUCUUUUCUAGAAUGUAACAGUACAUUCUGCACCUCUAAUAAACAACUUUUCUCUAGCCCCCCCACAGUUAAAUGAAGGGAUUGAAGAUCUGGACGAUAGACCAUCCUUGUCUGUUGCAACAAGUGUGGUGGCAGUUGCAGAGGCUCCAUUAAUCCUUUUGGCAGUGCUGAAGAUAUCUCAGCUGAAGAUGAGCAUAUGGUGGCACUGCUGUGUUUGACAGACCCAGGAAUUGAAGAAAAAGGAGAACUGACUGCUAUAGAAACUGGAGGACUUGCCAGC
Molecule: long non-coding RNA, 624 nt
Organism: Mauremys reevesii (Reeves's turtle)
Lineage: Eukaryota; Metazoa; Chordata; Testudines; Geoemydidae
Exons: 3
Source: RefSeq, a predicted model, not a curated record